UACGGAGGAUCCAAGCGUUAUCCGGCAUCAUUGGGUUUACAGGGUCCGUAGGCGGUCUAGCAAGUCAGUGGUGAAAUCUCCCCGCUCAACGGGGAAACGGCCAUUGAUACUACUAGAAUUGAAUUAUUAGGAAGUAACUAGAAUAUGUAGUGUAGCGGUGAAAUGCUUAGAUAUUACAUGGAAUACCAAUUGCGAAGGCAGGGUACUACUAAUGGAUUGACGCUGAUGGACGUAAGCGUGGGGAGCGAACAGG
This 253-nucleotide ribosomal RNA is filed under the name uncultured bacterium. RNAcentral's name for it is "partial 16S ribosomal RNA". It matches the Rfam family "Bacterial small subunit ribosomal RNA", at positions 524 to 776 of the family's 1533-position model. The record is from RNAcentral.